Molecule: long non-coding RNA, 1262 nt
Filed under: Strigops habroptila (Kakapo)
Lineage: Eukaryota; Metazoa; Chordata; Aves; Psittaciformes; Psittacidae
Description: lncRNA (ENSSHBG00005002128.1)
Source: RNAcentral
UUUCUUUUUUGCUUCCGUAAUAUUUAAUAAGGAGCACAUUUUGAAUCCCCUCUGUGGAUUUCAGUCUCUUUGUGGAAUUCAGCCCAGAAGUGAGGUAGACAUUGAGAAAAGUUUUAAUGCAAGGAGAUGAGCUAUUCAAAGGAUUCCAAAAUCUUCUUCCCUACAGAAACCAUUUGAUGGGCAGAACAUCAAGCUGGGCAACACCCAAGACGACCCCCGCCUCCCCAUCUGCAAUGCAGGGCUGGCAUGAAGGCACACACAAAAGCUUCAAAGCUUGCAAGGGACAGAGGCACAUUAGGGGACAUCUCAUCUUUGCAUGUGUGUAGGGACAGAGAAGGGAGGAAGGGGGAAGGGAGGUUGGCAACGCAGAUUUUCAGUCCAUACUCUUCUUUUACAAGCACAAUGUAAACAGAUUACAAAAGGGUGUUCCUUUGGACCCUAAGUGCUAUUUGGGAAACGAGCAAUACUUCAAAUGGUUUCUGUUGUUGGCAAAUAGUUCCACUACUUAAUGAAAGGUCCCUUUUUAUUACCGUAUGCCAAAUAGAUCACAUACAACAGAGAUGCGCAAAAAAGUUUAAGUAGGUUUUUCCUGAUCCAGUUUUCUACAACAUCACAGGCAAAGACAAACCACAAUAUGAACUAUUUUGGGGUGAAAAGGGAAUGAUUUCUAACAUAGUAACAACAUCAGCCUCAGCCAGUUAGGUAUUACCUUUAACAACACCUCAUAAAACUGCAUAUCUUUAAAAUAUUUCUUAAAUACCAGGGAGCAGACACUGCAAUAAAUAUUGAUGGCAGGGGUGUGUUGCUAUAGGGAAACAUUUUUGGCUUGUCUAUUAAUACCAUAAGAAUAGACAGCCACAUUUCAGCACAGCUUUCUGAGUCUCUUCUCAUUACAUUCCUUUGGAAAUCUGUACCCUUUCUGGGUACAGAUAACUCAUAUUGAAAUUUGUUGAAUUUUCAGGCAGUGAUAGUAGACAUGCCACAAGGUCUCCAAAACUAGUAUGCAAUAUAAUGGUUUGUUUUGUCAGGUAUUUAAUAUGGUGGCAGUAGGAAAUUUUGGACUGCAGGUGCUUAUAUCUGUGGGAUGUAUACAAAUACAGCCUAGAAGAUCAGUAACUUUCAAGGACCAAGGUAUCAUUUUAAAAUUAUCUGCCUACAUAAAUUUGACAGUGUUCUCUAUGCACAAUAUAGUCUUCCUGAAAACGUGCAUCCUGAAACAUGUGCAUCUUGAAAAUGCAUAUAUUUAAGAAACUUAAAAAAAA